AUACGUAGGGAGCAAGCGUUGUCCGGAAUUACUGGGCGUAAAGGGCGUGUAGGUGGAUGUAUAAGUCAGAUGUGAAAACUCCGGGCUCAACUUGGAGAUUGCAUUUGAAACUGGACGUCUUGAGGGUAGGAGAGGAAAGUGGAAUUCCUAGUGUAGCGGUGAAAUGCGUAGAUAUUAGGAGGAACACCAGUGGCGAAGGCGACUUUCUGGACUAUACCUGACACUGAGGCGCGAAAGCGU
This 240-nucleotide ribosomal RNA is filed under the name uncultured bacterium. RNAcentral describes it as "partial 16S ribosomal RNA". It matches the Rfam family "Bacterial small subunit ribosomal RNA", at positions 523 to 762 of the family's 1533-position model. The record is from RNAcentral.